This 253-nucleotide ribosomal RNA is filed under the name uncultured bacterium. RNAcentral describes it as "partial 16S ribosomal RNA". It matches the Rfam family "Bacterial small subunit ribosomal RNA", at positions 524 to 776 of the family's 1533-position model. The record is from RNAcentral.
UACGGAGGGGGCUAGCGUUGUUCAGAUUUACUGGGCGUAAAGGGUGCGUAGGCGGACCAUCAAGUCAGGGGUGAAAGGCCUGGGCUCAACCCGGGAAUUGCCUUUGAAACUGAAGGUCUAGAGUCCGAGAGAGGUUAGCGGAAUUCCCAGUGUAGAGGUGAAAUUCGUAGAUAUUGGGAAGAACACCAGUGGCGAAGGCGGCUAUCUGGCUCGGUACUGACGCUGAGGCGCGAAAGCGUGGGGAGCAAACAGG